GCCGCCCCUUCCAGGAAGGCGUCGCGGCUCUGCGAUGGGGGCGCGAUGCUGCCUGACCUGCUGAGUAUUUCCAGCAUUUUCUUGUUUUACUUUCACAAUAAACUUUGGGUAGCAUAGUGUUUUGAAAAUGGAAGAAAGGAGUCAACCCCUUAACCCCUCAAACAUGAUUGCCUGUUGUUGGAGUGGACCAGUGCUAGAGUGGGGGACUGAGGCUUUGGCUCAAGAGGCUUCUGUGAGAGUAGGCGGAGGUUAAAGUAAGCCGCUGGAAAGAAGCAACACGAGCAAGGCCAGAAUUUAUUACCCAGCCCAUGACAAAUUGGCUGUCGGCCAUCUUGGAUUGCUAGUCCUUCUGGUAAAGAAACCUACAGAUGUGGGUGUUCUGGUGCACCUGCUGUUUAUCUUCCUUGGUGGUAGAGGUCACAGGUUUGGAGUGCACCCUUCUGAAUGCUGCACUUGAAUCUGUCUUUAUUUUUGCUCUUGACAAUGCAUUCCUGAGCCUAACCACUCACUAUAUAAAUAAGUUUUUCCUCCUGUCAUUUUUGUUUCUUUUGCCAAUCAGCUUCAUCCUUCAUCCCCUAGUUCUUGAUCCCUUCUACAAUGAGGAAAUUUCUCUCUAUACUAUAUUUUCAACCAUCGCAAUUUUAAAUACCACUAUGAAAUCACCACAUAAACUCCUCUGUUCCAAGGAAAAUAACACUGGCUUCUCAUCCUUGGAUCAUUUUGGUAAAUCUAGGAAGUUGUGGGCAUGCUAUGUUGGCGCCGGAAGUGUGGCAACACUUGUGGACUGCCCCCAGAACACUACACAAAAGAUGUAUUUUGCUGUGUGUUUCGACGUACAUGUGACUAAUAAAGAUAUCUUAUCUUAUAGC
Pristis pectinata (smalltooth sawfish) is the source of this 869-nucleotide long non-coding RNA. RefSeq lists it as uncharacterized. Lineage: Eukaryota; Metazoa; Chordata; Chondrichthyes; Rhinopristiformes; Pristidae. The transcript is spliced from 3 exons. The record is from RefSeq and is a predicted model, not a curated record.